This 255-nucleotide ribosomal RNA is filed under the name uncultured bacterium. RNAcentral describes it as "partial 16S ribosomal RNA". It matches the Rfam family "Bacterial small subunit ribosomal RNA", at positions 57 to 305 of the family's 1533-position model. The record is from RNAcentral.
GCAAGUCGAACGAGAACGGGUCUUAGCUUGCUAAGAUUGUCAGCUAAGUGGCGCACGGGUGAGUAAUAUAUAGUUAACCUGCCCUAGAGAGGGGGAUAACGUUUGGAAACGAACGCUAAUACCCUAUAUGCCUUUAAAACAAAAGUUUGCAAGGGAAAUAUUUAUAGCUCUAGGAUGAGACUGUACGGUAUCAGCUAGUUGGUGAGGUAAUGGCUCACCAAGACAAUGACGCUUAACUGGUUUGAGAGGAUGAUC